AUAAGUUCAAGGCAAUUUAAUUGUCAUUUAAUUUACACUAUUUUACACUUAACAAUAUGUCGACAUUUGCUUGGUCACUUAAAUUGAUAAUACCUUUGAUUGUAGCGGGUUAUUUGACGAGUAUAAGCUUGAUACUGCUUUGCUAUGAUUGGAAACCUGUGGAAAAGUUGAAGGAACUCAGUCAGAAUUGGUUGUUAAUGGCGUCCUUGGGAAUUGUGUGUAUAAUGCUGAUCUAUAGUCGACCCAUGCGUUGCAUCUUUGUGCUCGCUUUGCCUUCGCUGAGCAGCUCUCGAGGACGCGCUUUACUCAUCACUUUGGCCUUCUUUGUGGCUGCUUUGGGUCCCACUGCCAAUAUUAUGGCCAAUCUGCGCAUAAUGCUGCAAAGUCUGGACUGUGGUCAGCAGCUGUUGCGUCAGGCAAUUGGCCAGUUGUUGGAUGUGCUGCUCGAACCCAUCAAAACGGUUCAAUCAGCUGUUGGACUGAUGUUGGACGAAGUGCGUCGCGUGCUGCGUCAGGUGAUGGAUCUUCUGCUGAGCAUCCAAAGCUACUUGCUGUUCUUUAUUGAUACCUUCAAGAGUUGUUCAUCUUGGUUAAAGUCUGUGGCGGAGCUCUGCAACUCCCAGCGAGGAUCACCCGGCACUCGUUGUCAGCGCGCUGCUGAGCGAGUUGUGAUCAAGUGUCGUGAGAAUUUCGUUUAUGUCAGAUCACUUUGCUAUGCCACCCGACUUUAUAUGGCCGUCUGCUUGCCUGUGAUGUUGUUCGAUGUGUUUUGCAUUGACUUCUGGAGCAGCAGUUGGAGUUUUAUGGAUACUAUAAUGGAGCGUUAUUAUGAAUUUGUAGCACAGCUGGAGCAAAUGUUUGAUGCGAGCAUCAGUUUUAAGCACAACUUUAACUUUCACACAAAUGCCUCGAAGAAUCUUUCCGAUGUGAGCGAACAGAUCCUGCAGGACAUCACGCAGAGUCUGCGUCCUUUUGGAGUGCUGCAAAGCUGUCUCGAUUUACUUUGCUGGCUGCUGUUGUUGCUGGUGUUUGUCAACGCCGCCUUCUUCUAUCUGCAGUAUAUGCAGAGUCGCGUCUAUCAAAAUGUUUAUUUGACCAGCGACUUCUAUGCGAUUGAACAACAAUUCUGGCUGCAAGGAAGAAGUGGAGUGUUGCCGUUAAAGUGUCUAGAGUGCUGCAAGUAUUUGAAGCUGAGCAGCCCGCGUCUCACGAGCUGCGAGUGUCAACUGCUGGCUGAGCACGCCUUCUUGCUACUCAUCAGCUGCGUGCAGCUCUUUGCAAUUUGUCUGGUGGAUUACAGUCUCUUCUGGCUGCUGGCCAGCAUUUCUUACUAUGGCCAUCAGCAGGCGGAACUCGAGUUGCCCGCUUACAUUGAGUUGGAAAUAAAACAAGGAGGUUUCAUGGGCGACAUCAUGCGUGGCAUUGCGAAUGCUUUUCGUCCUUUGACGCAGCAGAGAUCGCUGGAUACCCAGGCUUGUCUGCCGUUGCCUUUGAGGCCCAACUAUCGCAAGUACUUGGAGAUAUUUCAGUUGUGUCUGUUCGCCUGGCUUAUACUGCUAACAGAGCCUUUUGUGCUGCGUUUGCGGCACGUGAUCAUGCAACAUUUUCAUCCAGAACGUGCGAAAGAAAGAGCGAUUUAUUUGCAUCAGAAGAUACUCAAGGAGAGAGCUAACUUCUUUAAGAUGCCACGUCGCCAGGCUCGAGCUGCGUUUCCUUACCACGCCUCAAGUUAUAGAAGCAGCUGCUUGAAAUGGCUGCACUCCAAGCUAUGCUGUUGCUGCCACUUUCUCUGGCCUCGCUGUGAUGUGUGUAUCCUUUGUGGCAAGCUGCUUAGCUCGAUCGCUCUUACAGCUCAACCCGCAUCAAUUGUGAUUCACCUGGUUGCCAAGGCAUCUUUUGCCAGCUCUGCUUUAGCUCAUUGAAUAAUAAAUGCAAUCUUUGCCAGCGAUCUCUCGAUUGUGACGAUUGCAGCGUUAUCUCGGAGAUUCAGGACUCAUCGGAUGAUCCCGAUGCGGUUUCCUACGGACAGCAGCAGGCAAAACUUUAUUGUGGAAAAUAGCAGAAAACUUUGAGAAUUUUUUAAAAAAAAUUUAAUUGUUAAUAGCUAUUUUAUAUAAUUUAUUAAAAU
RNA transcript from Drosophila sulfurigaster albostrigata, 2128 nucleotides. It is a transcript of the gene named DC-STAMP domain-containing protein 2-like, with no coding region annotated. NCBI's taxonomy places the organism in Eukaryota, Metazoa, Arthropoda, Insecta, Diptera, Drosophilidae. The record is from RefSeq and is a predicted model, not a curated record. The transcript is spliced from 10 exons.